Apodemus sylvaticus (European woodmouse) is the source of this 125-nucleotide small nuclear RNA. The record is from RefSeq and is a predicted model, not a curated record. Lineage: Eukaryota; Metazoa; Chordata; Mammalia; Rodentia; Muridae.
GCGUCUUAUGGAAGGAGAGAAAGCUUAGCACUCCCCUUAUAAGGACAGAAGGGACCACAGUGCCUAACUCCUUCUGUAAGGUUAAAGCAUGUCACGUACUUUGCAACAUCUAUCCACUUAAAUAG